UUGAGGAAACAUUACUCUGAUUUUCUUGUCCAAAGGUGAGAAAGCUUUGGAAAAAAAAAAACAAAGAAACAGAUUUCCCUUUUAUUAUUAUUAUAUAUAAAUCCUAGUUAUGGUGCAGAUAAAAUAAAAGAGCUGGAUGCUGUUGUCAUAGUCUUGCCAGAGCACCUGAAAAAAAGAAAGAAAACAGGAAAGGUCAGGGGGGAUGGCUGUGGGGAAAAGUGAGACAUGCAAAUGCAAAAUGCAGGAAAGCAUUGGGUUUUUAUGGUUGUCCAAGGCGCAUGUGAGGCGGAGCAGCUGGGCCGGCCGAGCCACCCUCGCCUACCCUAUGGGUAUGAAAUAAAAAGCGAUGACAAAGAUGGGUCCACCUCUCAUUUACCAACUCCUACGGUGACUCGCCUCACGGCCCAUAUGAGACAACAAGCUGCCCCCUUUCUCCUACCACACGUUUUCGCACUUCUCUUUUAUAUUUGAGAUCGAAUUGG
This 482-nucleotide long non-coding RNA is filed under the name Durio zibethinus. RNAcentral describes it as "long non-coding RNA (DZIB_LNC000640)". Lineage: Eukaryota; Viridiplantae; Streptophyta; Magnoliopsida; Malvales; Malvaceae. The record is from RNAcentral.